UACGUAGGGUCCAAGCGUUAUCCGGAAUUACUGGGCGUAAAGCGUGCGCAGGCGGUGAUGUAAGACAGUUGUGAAAUCCCCGGGCUCAACCUGGGAACUGCAUCUGUGACUGCAUCGCUGGAGUGCGGCAGAGGGGGAUGGAAUUCCGCGUGUAGCAGUGAAAUGCGUAGAUAUGCGGAGGAACACCGAUGGCGAAGGCAAUCCCCUGGGCCUGCACUGACGCUCAUGCACGAAAGCGUGGGGAGCAAACAGG
Molecule: ribosomal RNA, 253 nt
Filed under: uncultured bacterium
Lineage: Bacteria
Description: partial 16S ribosomal RNA
Rfam family: Bacterial small subunit ribosomal RNA
Source: RNAcentral